GCGGCAGAGCAGAUGGCCUCACCCUGCCUCUGGAAAUUGCAGUGUGUGUCUGUGAGAACUGAAAGGGUGUGGCCAUCUUGACCCCAAGAUGGGAGCCAGGCUCAGGACACGCAGUGAUGCCGGAAUGGCUCCCAAAUGGCUCCCAAAGCAUCAGCACUCAAUGAAACCAUUGUAUUUCCUGCUUGAACAGACCAAUGAAUAAGUGAUCAAGGACCAUUCUAAACUGCAGUCUUCCAGUUCUAUAAACAUUAUUAUUCGGAUCCAAAAAACUAUUAGCUAGAGCCUAUUGAUCCUCUAGCUCCCUCCUUUUCAGAGCACCAGCAUACAAAUCGUCUCAUUUGAUUUCCUUCUAGAAGCACAAGCUGGGCGUGGAAGACUGUACAGAUGUAGCAGGAAGGUAUGAAUGGCCAACGGCACAAGAUGAAACUGAAAGUGACAUUCCUGUUUUAAUACUUGCUCUUUGACCAAGCCUUUAAGAUUAAUGAAUCUCGGCCGGGUGCGGUGGCUCACGCCUGUAAUCCCAGCACUUUCAGAGGCUGAGGUGGGCAGAUCACAAGGUCAGGAGAUCAAUAUCAUCCUGGCCAAUAUGGUGAAACCCCAUCUCUAUUAAAAAUACACACACACACACACACACACACACACACACACACACACACACAAAUUAGCCGGGUGUGGUGGUGCGCCUGUAGUCCCAGCUACUCAGGAGUCUGAGGGAGGAGAAUCGCUUGAACCCGGGAGGCGGAGAAGGUGGUGAGCUGAGAUUGCGCCACUGCACUCCAGCCUGGCGACAGAGUGAGACUCUGUCUCAGAAAAAAAAAAAAAAAAGAAUCUCUUAGUUUUUAAGUGAUGAGUGGUUGGGAUUGCCAGUUUUGGUUUUGGCGUAGACUCAAGAGACAAAAAUACAAGCUGGCAGGUCCUAUAGUGAAAUUUGGAGUGAAUCCUGUAGCAGCUGAUGAGGAACUAUGAGACAGUGGCCUGUGUUGCUGGAUAGAGGCAUCCCACUGUCCACUCGUUGGUGUAUGUUCUCAUAAAUUCACAAUCAUUCUUUCAAAUGUGGCUCAACAAUCCGAUACUAAGGAGCACUACCUGAAAUCACAAAGACAGUUUCUUUGUGAAUAUUGCACCUUCUUCAUAGCUGUUGGUUCUUAGCACUGUUGUGUGUUCAAUCUUUCAUUAGAUUAUAUACUCCUUAAGACAGGAUCAGGAGUUAUAUUUUGUUGAAUAUACACUAUGUUGAUGUCAUAUGAAAUAAAAUUUAAGUGUAUAUUUGUGUACCAUAUGAGGAGAAAUAAACAAUAUUAUGUGUGAAUUUUACAUUUAUUCUAAUUUUCAUUCAUAUCAGUUCAAUCUUUCUCACUUUUCAGGAUACAUAGCCAGAGUCAAUAUUGGUGAGGAGGUCAGGAAGAGGUAGGAAAACGACUGGUGGUUGAAUUGACUGGAAUCAAAGGGGGAGACUGAUUCUAAUUGACAUGAGGCAGAAAAAUAAAAAAUAGCUCAGGAUUGAAAUGACACAAAGUUUUAUAUAUAUAUUUAUAUAUAUUUAUUUUAUAUAUAGAUAUAUAUGUUAUAUAUAUGUCAUAUACAUGUUAUAUAUGUUAUAUAUGAAUGUAUGUUAUAUAUAUAAAAUUCUAUGCUACCAUACAAUUACAGAAAACAUAGGAUUUUAGUUAAAAAAUAAAUGUUAUCUUCAUGGAUAUCAUUGGCCUUUUGAUUGCAUUUGUUGACUACAUGAAACUAUGGACAAACAAGUGAAUUUUUAAAAUUCUUUCAUCAUAUAUUAGUUAAUUAUUAAUUAUUAAGUCUCUUCACUUAAU
RNAcentral lists this long non-coding RNA (1814 nucleotides) under Homo sapiens (human). RNAcentral's name for it is "HSALNT0130322". The record is from RNAcentral. Lineage: Eukaryota; Metazoa; Chordata; Mammalia; Primates; Hominidae.